This 258-nucleotide ribosomal RNA is filed under the name uncultured bacterium. Its description in RNAcentral is "partial 16S ribosomal RNA". It matches the Rfam family "Bacterial small subunit ribosomal RNA", at positions 524 to 776 of the family's 1533-position model. The record is from RNAcentral.
UACGUAGGGUGCAAGCGUUGUCCGGAAUUAUUGGGCGUAAAGAGCUCGUAGGCGGUCUGUUGCGUCGGCUGUACGGAAAACCCGGGGCUCAACCCCGGGCCUGCAGGCCGAUACGGGCAGACUUAGAGUUCGGUAGGGGAGACUGGAAUUCCUGGUGUAGCGGUGAAAUGCGCAGAUAUCAGGAGGAACACCGGUGGCGAAGGCGGGUCUCUGGGCCGAUACUGACGCUGAGGAGCGAAAGCGUGGGGAGCGAACAGG